Molecule: non-coding RNA, 71 nt
Organism: Podarcis lilfordi (Lilford's wall lizard)
Lineage: Eukaryota; Metazoa; Chordata; Lepidosauria; Squamata; Lacertidae
Source: the annotation of a GenBank genome assembly
GUGGAUAGCUCAAUCGGGAGACCAUGAGACUCUUAAUCCCAGGGUUGUGGGUUCAAGCUCCAUGUUGGACA